This 473-nucleotide ribosomal RNA is filed under the name uncultured Rhodoferax sp. RNAcentral describes it as "bacterial SSU rRNA". It matches the Rfam family "Bacterial small subunit ribosomal RNA", at positions 904 to 1382 of the family's 1533-position model. The record is from RNAcentral. Lineage: Bacteria; Pseudomonadati; Pseudomonadota; Betaproteobacteria; Burkholderiales; Comamonadaceae.
AAUGAAUUGACGGGACCGCACAAGCGGUGGAUGAUGUGGUUAAUUCGAUGCAACGCGAAAACCUUACCACCUUUGACAUGUACGGAAGCCUUUAGAGAUAGAGGCGUGCUCGAAAGAGAGCCGUAACACAGGUGCUGCAUGGCUGUCGUCAGCUCGUGUCGUGAGAUGUUGGGUUAAGUCCCGCAACGAGCGCAACCCUUGUCAUUAGUUGCUACAUUCAGUUGGGCACUCUAAUGAGACUGCCGGUGACAAGCCGGAGGAAGGUGGGGAUGACGUCAAGUCCUCAUGGCCCUUAUAGGUGGGGCUACACACGUCAUACAAUGGCUGGUACAAAGGGUUGCCAACCCGCGAGGGGGAGCUAAUCCCAUAAAGCCAGUCGUAGUCCGGAUCGUAGUCUGCAACUCGACUACGUGAAGUCGGAAUCGCUAGUAAUCGUGGAUCAGGAUGUCACGGUGAAUACGUUCCCGGGUCUU